GUCUAAGGUCAUACCAUCCUGGACCAGCGAGAUCUCGUCUGAUCUCAGAAGAGAAGCAGGGUCGGACCUGGUUAGUACUUGGAUGGGAGACUGCCUGGGAAUACUGGGUGCUGUGGGCU
Molecule: ribosomal RNA, 119 nt
Organism: Macaca mulatta (Rhesus monkey)
Lineage: Eukaryota; Metazoa; Chordata; Mammalia; Primates; Cercopithecidae
Source: Ensembl